Molecule: long non-coding RNA, 1484 nt
Organism: Balaenoptera acutorostrata (minke whale)
Lineage: Eukaryota; Metazoa; Chordata; Mammalia; Artiodactyla; Balaenopteridae
Exons: 3
Source: RefSeq, a predicted model, not a curated record
GUGCUCAAUGAAUAUUUGUCAGAAGAACAUUAGACAUGUUAAUCCAGGGUGUCUUUUAGCCCUAGCUGUUGGGACACCCCUUUCUCUCUGUCCUUCCCGCUCCCAUCUCCUCUCCUCCGUCCUGCCGGAUGCACUUUUCCCACAGGGCCUGCCCUGGUCACCUGAAGUGAGGCUUUGCGUAGGAGGGCGGGGCAGGCAGGAGGAGGAAAAAUUAGACCCGCCUGCACUUAACCUCCACUGUUUGGAAGGAAAGUUUGCCUUCUUUUCAGCGACCACAACAAAUAAUGUUGUGUGUUGGGCUCCAGCCAUCUGACCCUGUUUGACAGGUCUUCACUCAUUUUAGGAUGUCUAAGAAGAAAGCAAGUUUUUUGCAACAAAAACGACCCGCUUCGCCACACAAAGGCUGGACAGAAAAGCCACGAGCGUGAGCCCAUCCCAGUGAACCCAGCCCGUCAGUUCUUUAGUCAAAGGGGGCAACUCAGGGUCUGAUCUUGGAGAAUUUGGAUUCUAUUCACGGACUCAGAAAUGUAUCUAAGGCACUCUUGGCAUCCCAGGGAUCGGCACAAGAGCGUGAGCACCUGCCGCUUUGCAAGGACUCAGUUUCCAUCAACGGGUGGGUCCUACGCCCCAGCCAACCCUAGACUCCAGCUUAUCCCGUGAUCGGGAUGAGCUGGCAGAAAAACUGCUCAAAAGCUGUGUCUUAGAGGCGUGACGCUCCUGCCUAAGACUCCUGCCAAGACCUCAUCCAGCUUUAAGUAUUUGGGUAGCGACAGCAAGGCGGGAUUCUCCAAGAGAGAAGACAAACACAAGGCAGGGCUGGCUGGGCCCCUCAAGGAGGAUGAGGCGAAAGCCGGGCCCCAGGUGCCUCACUUCACGUGUGAAGACGUUGUCAGGAGCCCAGAGAAGUCGAGGCCUCUUAACCCUGUCUUGUGAAGGCCCCGUGCGCUCCCUGAGUCUUGGGUCUCCAUCCCCGGUCCGUGAACACGUGCCCGUGAGACCUCCAGUAAAGGCUCUGCCUGGACCGUGCCUGGCCCUGUGGUGGCUGGUGUGGCCCUCGUGCACUGAAGAUGCAGUUAGCAGCUGGCCCUCGCUCAAGCCCCACGCAACCCCAGUGAGACAUCGGGGUGCGAGCUCGUUUCCCUCGCACGCGUGUGUGGAAACCCCGCCUUGGGGGGCACAUUGCUGGGCCGCGGCCACCGUGACCCUGUGCUUUGCUAAUUCUGACUUGUGAACCAGACCAGCCGGAUGGAAGCCGUUCUCCAGGACGGUACCCAGACAGUGGAGCUGGCACGUCUGCCCAGCGCGGUGUCUGAGCCAGACGAGGGAGUACGGCACAGGCACGGCCUCAUCAUUACCAGGGGCCUGUCACCCAGGUUGGACACCAGUUGCCGCUGGUUGUCCAAAUCAACGACCAGGUCGUCCAGCUCUUGCUGAAGCCUGUUCUUGGUCUUUUCCAGUUUGUCAUAAGCAGCUGCCUUCUCUUC